This 22-nucleotide ribosomal RNA is filed under the name Zelkova serrata. RNAcentral's name for it is "partial 25S ribosomal RNA". RNAcentral also lists the same sequence under 4 other names. The record is from RNAcentral. Lineage: Eukaryota; Viridiplantae; Streptophyta; Magnoliopsida; Rosales; Ulmaceae.
GCGACCCCAGGUCAGGCGGGGC